Molecule: long non-coding RNA, 1063 nt
Filed under: Sorghum bicolor (sorghum)
Lineage: Eukaryota; Viridiplantae; Streptophyta; Magnoliopsida; Poales; Poaceae
Description: long non-coding RNA (SBIC_LNC005977)
Source: RNAcentral
AGUUCCAAACACAUUGACUAAAAGGAGCUAAAAUAGUUUAGUUCCAUUAGUCAUCCAAGAGUAGCUAAAAUAAUUUUAGCCAGCUAAAAUUUAGCAAGAGAACCAAACAGGCCCGUAGUCCUGUUACGAAGAGCGUGCAUGCACACGCAGCCUUUAAAUAAGACACACCCAACAACACAGCGAGAAUGCAAACGACGGUUGGAAAAGGAGAUCGAAACGAGAUGAAAUCGACGACACGCAUGCAUGGAUCCUACCGGACAACACGAUCGGCGAGGCGUGGCGGCAGUCCACGGAGCAUUUCGACCUGAUAGACAGUAAAAUUUAACAAGCCCAACCAAAUAUGACCUGAUUUUGCUGUAAAAUGUAUCCUGGUACCAGUAGCAGCGGCGACGUAUUUACAACCAAACUGAACAAUUAGUUUUCCUUUUGUCUGAAUGUAAUGCUUGGUGUAUGUGUCUGAAAAUUUGAUGAAAUUGGUGAGAAGGUUUUGGAUGGGGAAUUAAAUAUAUCCACGUGCAAGCUUAUAGCUUCAUGGUCUUGGUCGUGACAGCAGGCAGCCAACCGAAACCAAACCAUUAUAAUUGCAGGAUAACAAAAAGAAAAAAAAAACACUAACGUGAUCCCGAUCUCUGCACUGCCACAUGAAUUCAAUGCCAAAUGCCCAAAUGAAAUGGGCCGUGAUUAUGGAGCGUGCUCCGUGGUCCUACACAGGUCACUCCGUAUCCCAGAUUCCCAGUAGUAGGCAACGAUAACGAUGAGCCAAUGCAAUGCAAUGCAAGGGCAGUUGCAGACCUGCAAACUUUACGUGACCGUGACCCCGGCGGCUGGCACCAAUAAAGGCUAGGCUUUGUUUAAUUUCCAUCUAAAAAAUCUUUUACCUCGUGUUUGGAUAUAUAUAUAUAUAUAUAUAUAUAUAUAACGUUAAAUAUAGAUAAAAAUAAUUAACCAUAUAAUUUUAAUAUAUUUUACAAGAUGAAAUUUUUAAUUUAAAUAGUCUAUAAUUCAAUACUAAUUAUAUAAUUAUACAUGUAUUAGCUAGAAAUUUUUCUUUUCGCGAACUAGG